CAAUUUUUUGCAGUUUACAAUAAAAAUAAGAAACUAAUGGCAAUGUUUUUUAUUUUAAAAUAAUAAUACAUACAAAAUUUCUGUUCUCUUAUUUAUUUAUUUUUACGUAUUAUCGAUUUUCGUCAAAAUUUUAUCUUAAAAUGACUAUAAAAAAAAAAAACCCAAGUACUACGUAACGCUUAAUCUUUUUCUUUUUAACCACUAAGUAUAAUUUAUAAACAAAGUUGGAGUGUUCAUAUCUUACCAUAAAUUCUCGUUGUAGAUACAAUAAUAAAAUACAGUGGUGCAUUAUAAAGAACUAAGACUAUAGAAAAAUUGGUUUAAUUCAAAAUUUCAUUUUUUGAAUUACUACACUACCGUUUUGGUUUUAGUUUUGUUAGUGUGAUAUGCCAGGGUAAAGCCACCGCAACAUCUGGGAUAGUAGGCCGAAUUUGUUUUCCUCUGUCCUUUAACAACUUUACUACCACAAAUCUGGUUUUAAUUAAAAAAAUACAAUUGAUUUUCUGUAGCAUUUUGGAUUUAUUGGUGCACUGUGGUCUAUUAUAUUCUGAGCGGAGCGAAGAUCUUAUUUGUUUUCCUUUUUUUAUCUUCUGCAAACUUUUUUACAAAAAAACUUCCUCCAUUCCAAAAAUUCCGAGAAAUUUUUUAAAAAUAUUUUUGCUCUAUUAUAAUAGGCAUUUAAAAUUUUCCAUUUUUUUAGUUUAAUAUGGGUAAAACUGUUAUGGAAGAACAGAAAUGCUUAAAAAUUUAAUACAAGGUUCACUACAUGUUAUAUAUACUCAGUGUUAAAAAAAAAGUUGAGUGUGAUGUAUAAUGUAGCUAUAUUUUUUAUAAGUAUUUUAAGA
Molecule: non-coding RNA, 845 nt
Organism: Cinara cedri
Lineage: Eukaryota; Metazoa; Arthropoda; Insecta; Hemiptera; Aphididae
Source: the annotation of a GenBank genome assembly